CGAACGGGUGAGUAACGCGUGAGGAACCUGCCUCAAAGAGGGGGACAACAGUUGGAAACGACUGCUAAUACCGCAUAAGCCCACGGGUCGGCAUCGACCAGAGGGAAAAGGAGCAAUCCGCUUUGAGGUGGCCUCGCGUCCGAUUAGCUAGUUGGUGAGGUAACGGCCCACCAAGGCGACGAUCGGUAGCCGGACUGAGAGGUUGAACGGCCACAUUGGGACUGAGACACGGCCCAG
Molecule: ribosomal RNA, 237 nt
Filed under: uncultured bacterium
Lineage: Bacteria
Description: partial 16S ribosomal RNA
Rfam family: Bacterial small subunit ribosomal RNA
Source: RNAcentral